UACAGAGGGUGCGAGCGUUGUCCGGAAUCACUGGGCGUAAAGGGCGCGUAGGUGGCUGGGUAAGCGUGUGGUGAAAGCCCGGGGCUCAACCCCGGGUCGGCCAUGCGAACUGCCCGGCUGGAGCACGGUAGAGGCCAAUGGAAUUCCGGGUGUAGCGGUGGAAUGCGUAGAGAUCCGGAAGAACACCGGUGGCGAAGGCGGUUGGCUGGGCCGUGGCUGACACUGAGGCGCGACAGCGUGGGGAGCAAACAGG
This 253-nucleotide ribosomal RNA is filed under the name uncultured bacterium. RNAcentral describes it as "partial 16S ribosomal RNA". It matches the Rfam family "Bacterial small subunit ribosomal RNA", at positions 524 to 776 of the family's 1533-position model. The record is from RNAcentral.